GGGACAACCAGCCGAAAGGUUGGCUAAUACCGCAUGAGUUCUACGGAAGAAAGAGGGGGACCCGCAAGGGCCUCUCGCGAGCGGAGCGGCCGAUGACUGAUUAGCCGGUUGGUGAGGUAACGGCUCACCAAAGCAACGAUCAGUAGCUGGUCUGAGAGGACGACCAGCCACACUGGGACUGAGACACGGCCCAGACUCCUACGGGAGGCAGCAGUGGGGAAUUUUGGACAAUGGGCGCAAGCCUGAUCCAGCUAUUCCGCGUGUGGGAUGAAGGCCCUCGGGUUGUAAACCACUUUUGUAGAGAACGAAAAGACACCUUCGAAUAAAGGGUGUUGCUGACGGUACUCUAAGAAUAAGCACCGGCUAACUACGUGCCAGCAGCCGCGGUAAUACGUAGGGUGCGAGCGUUAAUCGGAAUUACUGGGCGUAAAGGGUGCGCAGGCGGUUGAGUAAGACAGAUGUGAAAUCCCCGAGCUUAACUCGGGAAUGGCAUAUGUGACUGCUCGACUAGAGUGUGUCAGAGGGAGGUGGAAUUCCACGUGUAGCAGUGAAAUGCGUAGAUAUGUGGAAGAACACCGAUGGCGAAGGCAGCCUCCUGGGACAUAACUGACGCUCAGGCACGAAAGCGUGGGGAGCAAACAGGAUUAGAUACCCU
This 655-nucleotide ribosomal RNA is filed under the name uncultured bacterium. RNAcentral describes it as "bacterial SSU rRNA". It matches the Rfam family "Bacterial small subunit ribosomal RNA", at positions 140 to 788 of the family's 1533-position model. The record is from RNAcentral.